AUCGGAGCCAAUUGAUUGGUCCGAAUUCAGUUCUGCUUGGUUCAAAUUAGAGCCCACAGCAGCCAGGGUAGAUACUCCCUGGAGUGGUUGCUGGGUGUACAGGACAUGGAAAUUUGGCUAACAUCCAGAAAGAAGAAGCGUCCAAUGUGAUGGAGAACGGGUGUCAGAGAAGAUGAGGAACAACCAAGGAGGAGCUGGUGCCCAGAAACUCCAGGCUGCCCAAGCCACUGACUGCUGUGAGCGGCUCUUCUGUCUGGCUCCCUAUUCCUCCCUGUCCACAGGAGGCUGAGAGGUACCCCCUACCCUGAGUUUCACGAGGAUGUCAGCGGGAAGGGGAACAGGUAAGUUGCGCAGUCUGAUUUGGCAGGACCUGCACUAGGCCCUGGUGA
RNAcentral lists this long non-coding RNA (389 nucleotides) under Fukomys damarensis (Damara mole-rat). RNAcentral describes it as "lncRNA (ENSFDAG00000027483.1)". Lineage: Eukaryota; Metazoa; Chordata; Mammalia; Rodentia; Bathyergidae. The record is from RNAcentral.